This 500-nucleotide ribosomal RNA is filed under the name uncultured bacterium. Its description in RNAcentral is "partial 16S ribosomal RNA". It matches the Rfam family "Bacterial small subunit ribosomal RNA", at positions 29 to 523 of the family's 1533-position model. The record is from RNAcentral.
AUUGAACGCUGGCGGAAUGCUUUACACAUGCAAGUCGAGCGGCAGCGCGGGGGCAACUCUGGCGGCGAGCGGCGAACGGGUGAGUAACACAUCGGAACGUGCCCAGUUGUGGGGGAUAGCCCGGCGAAAGCCGGAUUAAUACCGCAUACGACCUGAGGGUGAAAGGGGGGGAUCGCAAGACCUCUCGCAGUUGGAGCGGCCGAUGGCGGAUUAGCUAGUUGGUGAGGUAAAGGCUCACCAAGGCGACGAUCCGUAGCUGGUCUGAGAGGACGACCAGCCACACUGGAACUGAGACACGGUCCAGACUCCUACGGGAGGCAGCAGUGGGGAAUUUUGGACAAUGGGGGCAACCCGGAUCCAGCCAUUCCGCGUGAGUGAAGAAGGCCUUCGGGUUGUAAAGCUCUUUCGGCAGGAACGAAACGGUGAGGGUUAAUACCUCUUAUCAAUGACGGUACCUGAAGAAGAAGCACCGGCUAACUACGUGCCAGCAGCCGCCGUAA